RNAcentral lists this unclassified non-coding RNA (282 nucleotides) under uncultured Chaetothyriales. RNAcentral describes it as "sequence contains 5.8S rRNA gene, ITS2, 28S rRNA gene". The record is from RNAcentral. Lineage: Eukaryota; Fungi; Ascomycota; Eurotiomycetes; Chaetothyriales.
AACGCACAUUGCGCCCUUUGGCAUUCCGAAGGGCAUGCCUGUUCGAGCGUCAUUAUCCUCCCUCAAACCCCCUCCUUGUGGAAGGGGUCUGGUGUUGGACCGCGUUGGACCCCCCGUUCGGGGCGGGCCAACUGGUCUCAAAGACAAUGACGGCGUCCGUGGGACCCUCUUCGCACUGAGCUUUCCGGAGCACGCGUCGAGUGUCCAGGUCCCAGGGGCCCGGUCACCUCCCAUAUCUUCUAGGUUGACCUCGGAUCAGGUAGGAAUACCCGCUGAACUUAA